This 484-nucleotide ribosomal RNA is filed under the name uncultured bacterium. RNAcentral's name for it is "partial 16S ribosomal RNA". It matches the Rfam family "Bacterial small subunit ribosomal RNA", at positions 30 to 507 of the family's 1533-position model. The record is from RNAcentral.
AUUGAACGCUGGCGGCAGGCCUAACACAUGCAAGUCGAGCGGAUGAAGGGAGCUUGCUCCUGGAUUCAGCGGCGGACGGGUGAGUAAUGCCUAGGAAUCUGCCUGGUAGUGGGGGAUAACGUCCGGAAACGGGCGCUAAUACCGCAUACGUCCUGAGGGAGAAAGUGGGGGAUCUUCGGACCUCACGCUCUCAGCUGAGCCUAGGUCGGAUUAGCUAGUUGGUGGGGUAAAGGCCUACCAAGGCGACGAUCCGUAACUGGUCUGAGAGGAUGAUCAGUCACACUGGAACUGAGACACGGUCCAGACUCCUACGGGAGGCAGCAGUGGGGAAUAUUGGACAAUGGGCGAAAGCCUGAUCCAGCCAUGCCGCGUGUGUGAAGAAGGUCUUCGGAUUGUAAAGCACUUUAAGUUGGGAGGAAGGGCAGUAAGUUAAUACCUAGCUGUUUUGACGUUACCAACAGAAUAAGCACCGGCUAACUACGUG